UAGGGAAUCUUCCACAAUGGACGCAAGUCUGAUGGAGCAACGCCGCGUGAGUGAAGAAGGUUUUCGGAUCGUAAAGCUCUGUUGUUGGUGAAGAAGGAUAGAGGUAGUAACUGGCCUUUAUUUGACGGUAAUCAACCAGAAAGUCACGGCUAACUACGUGCCAGCAGCCGCGGUAAUACGUAGGUGGCAAGCGUUGUCCGGAUUUAUUGGGCGUAAAGCGAGCGCAGGCGGAAGAAUAAGUCUGAUGUGAAAGCCCUCGGCUUAACCGAGGAACUGCAUCGGAAACUGUUUUUCUUGAGUGCAGAAGAGGAGAGUGGAAUUCCAUGUGUAGCGGUGGAAUGCGUAGAUAUAUGGAAGAACACCAGCGGCGAAGGCGACUCUCUGGUCUGCAACUGACGCUGAGGCUCGAAAGCAUGGGUAGCGAACAGG
RNAcentral lists this ribosomal RNA (429 nucleotides) under bacterium. Its description in RNAcentral is "partial 16S ribosomal RNA". It matches the Rfam family "Bacterial small subunit ribosomal RNA", at positions 355 to 776 of the family's 1533-position model. The record is from RNAcentral.